This is a non-coding RNA of Heterocephalus glaber (naked mole-rat), 1048 nucleotides long. The record is from RefSeq and is a predicted model, not a curated record. NCBI's taxonomy places the organism in Eukaryota, Metazoa, Chordata, Mammalia, Rodentia, Bathyergidae.
CCCGCCCUCUGCAGGACAGCAGGACAGCAGAGGAGGGAGCCCGGCCAGGCCAGCAGGCGCCCCGCCCCGCGCCCUGUGUCCUGCAGCCUCGGCUUGGGCCUCCAUCCGACUUGCAGGGGUUUGUUGAUGUCUGCAGCGAAAGCAGGCAGGCCAGGGAUUAUACACACGAAUUACCCCGCUCCUUCCCUGGAAGAGAAAAGGUCAAAUCCAUGAAAUACACGCUGCUCAUCUAGACCAGAACUCACAGCCCGUGCCUCCCUCCCAGGAGCCCGGCCUCAGCAGCAGGGGCUCAGCGCAUCCUUGUGUUCUCCCUCCCUCGGCCACUUGUUUCCAGGGAGAAGCAGCAGAUAAGGAGAAGCAAGGGGCCAGGGAUUUAGGUCGGUGGAGCCGCGCCUGCCUUGCAAGCAAGGUCCUGAGUUCGAUCCCCAGCACAAAAAAAAAGGAGGAGGAGAAGCAGAAGGACAGGGAGAAUGGACCAGGUGAGGAAAGAGACUCCCGGGAGCCUCCAGAAAGGCACGGCCCUGCCGAGACCUUGACUGACACGCUCAGCCCAGCCUCUGCUAUCACUCAGACUGGACAGGGAGAGGACCCGGGGUCUGUGACUAUUUACAGCACCAACGCACUGCUGCCACUGUAAGGAGUCCUGAGACCCUGAGGUGACACUGAGAUGGACACGGCAGGGAAAGGGCCCUCCACAUUCUUGAGGGCCCCGUGGGAGUCCCCUGUAGCUGCUGUGACCGAUGACUGCAGAUGGGGUGGCCUGAAGCAGCGGUGCCUGAUUUUCUCACUGUUGGAGAUGGGAUCUGAAAUCAGAUUCCUUCUCAAGGCCCAGGCCAAGCUCCUUCCGGCCUCUUCCAGCUUCUGGGGCAUCCAAAGUCUGCCAUGGGUCACCGCACCCCUCCUCCUCUGUGUCUCAAAUCCCUCUGCUGCCCUCUUUUAAGGACAAUGCGAGGGCACUGGGCUCCCCACAUAGACGCACACCACACUCGAGGUCCUUGGCCUAAUGGCGCCUGGUCCUUUCCCAAGUAAGGAGAGUGCGACCUGAGAU